RNAcentral lists this ribosomal RNA (253 nucleotides) under uncultured bacterium. Its description in RNAcentral is "partial 16S ribosomal RNA". It matches the Rfam family "Bacterial small subunit ribosomal RNA", at positions 524 to 776 of the family's 1533-position model. The record is from RNAcentral.
UACGUAGGGGGCAAGCGUUGUCCGGAAUCAUUGGGCGUAAAGCGCGUGUAGGCGGUCCGGUAAGUCCGCUGUGAAAGUCGGGGGCUCAACCCUCAGAUGCCGGUGGAUACUGUCGGGCUUGAGUACGGAAGAGGCGAGUGGAAUUCCUGGUGUAGCGGUGAAAUGCGCAGAUAUCAGGAGGAACACCAAUUGCGAAGGCAGCUCGCUGGGACGUUACUGACGCUGAGACGCGAAAGCGUGGGGAGCAAACAGG